This 484-nucleotide ribosomal RNA is filed under the name uncultured bacterium. RNAcentral's name for it is "partial 16S ribosomal RNA". It matches the Rfam family "Bacterial small subunit ribosomal RNA", at positions 30 to 507 of the family's 1533-position model. The record is from RNAcentral.
AUUGAACGCUGGCGGCAGGCCUAACACAUGCAAGUCGAGCGGAUGAAGGGAGCUUGCUCCUGGAUUCAGCGGCGGACGGGUGAGUAAUGCCUAGGAAUCUGCCUUGUAGUGGGGGAUAACGUCCGGAAACGGGCGCUAAUACCGCAUACGUCCUGAGGGAGAAAGUGGGGGAUCUUCGGACCUCACGCUAUCAGAUGAGCCUAGGUCGGAUUAGCUAGUUGGUGGGGUAAAGGCCUACCAAGGCGACGAUCCGUAACUGGUCUGAGAGGAUGAUCAGUCACACUGGAACUGAGACACGGUCCAGACUCCUACGGGAGGCAGCAGUGGGGAAUAUUGGACAAUGGGCGAAAGCCUGAUCCAGCCAUGCCGCGUGUGUGAAGAAGGUCUUCGGAUUGUAAAGCACUUUAAGUUGGGAGGAAGGGCAGUAAGUUAAUACCUUGAUGUUUUGACGUUACCAACAGAAUAAGCCCCGGCUAACUUCGUG